This 301-nucleotide ribosomal RNA is filed under the name uncultured bacterium. RNAcentral's name for it is "partial 16S ribosomal RNA". It matches the Rfam family "Bacterial small subunit ribosomal RNA", at positions 509 to 809 of the family's 1533-position model. The record is from RNAcentral.
CAGCAGCCGCGGUAAUACGAAGGGUGCAAGCGUUACUCGGAAUUACUGGGCGUAAAGCGUGCGUAGGUGGUGGUUUAAGUCCGUUGUGAAAGCCCUGGGCUCAGCCUGGGAAUUGCAGUGGAUACUGGGUCACUAGAGUGUGGUAGAGGAUAGUGGAAUUUCCGGUGUAGCAGUGAAAUGCGUAGAGAUCGGAAGGAACAUCUGUGGCGAAGGCGACUAUCUGGGCCAACACUGACGCUGAGGCACGAAAGCGUGGGGAGCAAACAGGAUUAGAUACCCCAGUAGUCCCUGUCUCUUAUAA